AGACUUGAGGAAGGUAAAUAUAUGUAAAGAGAAAUUCCUCUCAAGCUUGAACCACGUUUGUCAUCUAGUGCAAAGGCUAGAUUAGUAGCACCAAUAAAGGAAAGUAAGAACACAUUCCAGCUUUGUUUAUAUGUCCUCUUGCUGAAAAGCUUCCUUUGUCUUUGUUUUGAGUCCCAAGUGCAGCUAAAACAGGUCUUUGGGAGUUCCUGUGGUGGCUCAGCAGUAAUGAACCUGACUAGUAUCCAUGAGGACUUGGGUUCAAUUCCUGACCUCACUCAUUGGGUUAAGGAUCCAGGGUUUCCAUGAGCUGCGGUAUAGGUCACAGACAUGGCUCAGAUCUCACGUUGCUGUGGCUGGGCUGUGGCUGUGGCUGGCAGCUGUAGCUCUGAUUUGAUCCUUAGCCUGGGAACUUCCAUACAGGUGUGGCUAUAAAAAGCCAAGCAAAAAAAAAAAAAAAAGAAAGAAAGAAAAAGAAAAGAAGGAAAGAACAGAUCUUUAAUUUUAGUUAUUUCAACAUAUAGAAUGGAAAGAAUACAAAUAGUAAAGAGGAAUGCUUUUGGGUUUUAGUGGUAACAUUGCAAUGAACUUUUUGAUUGAUGAAAGUUUUGUAACCUUGGACAAUUUACUUUGUUUUUCUGAGAGUCAGUAUUCCCAUUGGAAAAAUUAAUAAAAUCUAUAACCUCCUGAAUUGUACUGGGAUGAGAUGAAAAAACAUGCAUGAAGCAUGUAUCAUAGUGUCUAUCAGAGUAGAUCUUCAUCAAUUCAGUUGAUUUUUCUUCAUCUUACUCAUCCUCAUAUUGAAAUAAGCACAAUAUUCUAAUGAUUGGUAUUUGUAAACCUGUGAUUUACUACUGGCUUUGCUGCAGGAUGUGUGACUUUGAACAAAGCACAAUCUUGUGCUCCAAUGUUCUUAUUUGUAGAAGGAAGAUUUGAACUCUAUAAUCCUAAAUACUCCACUAUCCUUUCAUCUAAUUUUAUUUCUUCUGCUCUUUGUAGUUUUAAAAGAACAAUGACAAAAUAGAUGUACUACUAUUUUCUGAUUCUGCAGUGAACUACAAUAGCCUUUUAUGCAAUUUGUCAUAAUCCAGAAUAUACUAAUUAUUGCAAGCUUCUUAAAGCCUCAUCCUAUGUGAGAAUCACCUUGAAAAGCAUCCUAAUUUCCACCUGGAAUAAUUAAGAGACAUGAAAUUUUUUAAUCUUUCUUAAAAACAAGAAAAAUUUAAUCUACAUUUGAGUUUUUUCAUAAGUUGAAAUUUUUCUUCUAUUAAUAAUUUCUAUUUGAGUCGUAGACAUCAAAGUUCAAGUUUCUUUUGGCCUGCAAUUGAUUUCUCCUUGUCUUCUAAAUGACAACUACUGAUUACAUUAAUAUUCAGAUCUCUGUCUUACCUCCCCCAGAGGUUACUUUUCAUCCUUAAAAAAAAAAAUAUAUGUUCUUGUAUUCCUGAGAAAAGAAUUAUUAUUUUUUCUAUGAAAAUAGAUUGUAGUUAGAAGCGCCUUUCUUAAAGCAUAUGAACAAACAAAACACUGUCUCCACCUUAGAUGAUCAAAUGAUUCACUGUUACAUAGACAGUAUAGCAAAUCUGCAAAGCAAAACCCAUGAGACAAUCCCUAUUUCCCUGCUGCUGUCAAGCAAAAUGACUAUAAUAUCAUUAUGAAGAAAUGGUUGAACAAUGACAAAGGUGAUCUUUGUACAACCCAAUUUUUCUUACCUAAAUUUUAAAAUUAUUCUAAUAGAUUCAGAAUGCACUCGAAAAUAUCUUUGUCUUUGGGCGUAAUAUUCUACAGUACAUUGUGAUAUUUCACACGUACAUGGAAAUGACAAUUUCAUAGGCUGUAGAUUAGAGAGAGUGACUUUUUCCUCAGUCUUUCCCUUUGUGAUUUUUAUGAUGGAGAAGCUAAUCAGUGUUAUUUUUCUACUAUACUCCAAAAUUCUCUUUUCCAAGCCACAGGGAAGAGCAAGCAAAAAAACCACCACCAACAAAACAGAACAAUCCAAGAAUAACAAUUCUUUAAUUAAUAAAUUAAUGUAAUACCAUUUUACCUGCUUAUCUUACCUGAAUACAAUGUAAUUAACUUACAGAUCACUUGAAACUUAAAAGUUAGAUGAAUAUAAUAAACUAUAUAUAUUAUGCCCCAAGUUUCCACUUGAAAAUCCUUUCCUUUUCUUGUUUACUUAUCUUUGGUACAUCUUUUCUGUAAGGGCACUUGGCUAAUACCUUAAAAGUUUCCAAAUAUGAAUGUCAAAUUAGCUCCAUGAGCCUCAUUUAGUAGCUAUAAGAUGUGGUGGAUACUCUUUACAGCAUCUCUAGGAACUUUUGCCCUAGUAUUUCUCAAAUUAUGUUACAAAGAGAAUAACAUCAGAAUGGCUCAUAGCAUUUUCUCUCUUUUCCAGAUACCGAUGCAAGAUUAAAAGAUAAAAUAGUCUGAAUACAUCCAAUUAUUAUAUAUUUUAGAAAUAUCUGGAAAGCAUGGUAGUAUCAUAGGAACAUGUUUUAUUUUACAUAUUAGUUGGAAUAUGAAACAAAAAAAUCAUCAGUGCAUAGUUACAUACUGAUGACCUAGGAAAUAGUUCUCAUGAUAGGCAAUUUAAGAAUAUGUGCCCCCAGGUACAGUAGGGGAUAUUUAACAUCUAGGGAGGUCAUUAUAUUGAAAUUGGUGGUCAUUCACGAGGUCACUGUCAGGAAGAGACUGAGCUAAAGCAGAAUAUAAAUUAUUUUAAAGGCCAGACUUACUACUUUGAAACCAUGCUAUCUCCUGGGAAGCACAUAGACGUGGUUGCAUGAAAAUAUCCAUUCAUAAAAACUGUGUGUUUCUCCCAACUUGGCCAUAUGAAUCACCACAUGAGAAAGGAAUAUUAAAACAUUAAUCAUUGUGAUAAGCAGAUGGAAACUUCAUGAUAAUAGCAGGUGAUAAAAGGAGGAAUGCAUUUUUUAGAAAUCACAUUAUUUUGGCAUUGUUUAUGCCCACAAAUGUACCAAAGCCACUACAGUUUCCUACAUGGUAAAAUACUGAUAAUUAGAUACAGAAUAUUAUAAUACGUUAGGUAGAUAGAUAAUGGGCAGAUAGAAUUAUCACCUACAUAUUCUGCGUUAUAAAUAGUUGUAAACACUACAGUCUGAAAGAAAUUUAAACAGAAUUCUCAGAAUAUGAGAAACCCAACAUUUUCCAUAUGCACUGUCAUAUUCCAUUCUUUUUCUGAUUUCAUAUUUCAUUAGCAUUUAGUACACAGGCCUUGGGAUUUUUAAAAAAAGAAAUAUAAGUAUAUUCAAUUUUGGUAUUUGUGAACUAUUUAUCAUUUAAUUUACCGUCAAGGCCUACUAAAUUUUGUUUAAGACACUAAAUUAAUUUAAAUCCCACCUCCUUUACUUUUGAUAUGCAAAUAUUUUUACUUUGAUGUCAUAGCAAUACAAAUUGAAGUUUGCAACAUGAACCGCUAAUGCUAAUUUGAUUACUUCUGUAUUAGUGUUGAGUGCUACAAAAAUAGCAAGAGAUUGUUUAAAAAAUGAAACUGGGAAUGGAAGAACUCUUUCUCUGCAGGCCCUCUGCAAUGAUGGUAGUAUUAAUGCAUGUACAUUAAUGCUUGAUGAUUCUCAUAGAGCCAUGAAUGCAAUUUUGAAGGCAAGUAAUUUAGGAGUUUUAGAAAACCUGACAGCUUGGUUUUUAAAAAUUUGAGUUCAUCAAAAGUCCUCACUUUAUUUUUUUAAUAGCUCAGAGAGUUUUAAUCUAUUUAAAAUAUUUAUUCCAGAUGAUUUAGACAAUGAUUUAUUUUUAGCAGUAAAGACGUUUAUCAACUAUAGUGACGACAAGGUGCCUGAAUUGUGAAUUUAAUACUUUUUGGAUGGAAGUGAAUCAGGCCUCCUAAAAAAGGAAAAAAAAAUGAGCCUUUUUAAAAAAAUUUAUUUAAUUGAUUUAUUUGAUAAAGUUGAGAUUUCUAAUGACCCGUAACGAAAAGGAUGAUAUAAAUAUCUCUUUGAAACUGAAGCCAAGUAUACCUAAAAACUAUUGAAAACAGUUUUCUCCCUCUUUUUAAAACAGUACAUGAAAAUGGUAUCUUGCCAUGUUGAAAAAAAUAUAUAUUAUACAUGAUCUCUAAGGUAUUCCAAUGGUGGAGCUGCAGUAAUAUCUGCCACCUGUAGUGCGCCUGCAGUGUGCAUGUUGCUUGUCUGUUUAUCAAUGAAAUGUCUGUGUAUGUUUGUCUGCAAUUUGCAUUAUGCCUGAAAGUCUUUAUGCUCAUUAACCUUUUACAGGUGCCGCACCAUUCCAAGGAACUUCAGGUACUAAGAGAAUGGGCAUUACUUAUAAAGGCACAACAUACCUUGAGCUCCAUCCUCUCUUCCUGCCUACACUCAGGCAAUGUAUUGGAGACGACUCAAUGAUCUAGAUAUUUGUGACCAAGCUAAGGAGUAGCAAAUGACUGAAUGAGGGCCAUGUAUAAUUUCCUACAUAUGACCCUUCACCUGAUU
This 4463-nucleotide long non-coding RNA is filed under the name Sus scrofa (pig). RNAcentral's name for it is "lncRNA (ENSSSCG00025068263.1)". Lineage: Eukaryota; Metazoa; Chordata; Mammalia; Artiodactyla; Suidae. The record is from RNAcentral.